UACGGAGGGUGCAAGCGUUAUCCGGAUUCACUGGGUUUAAAGGGUGCGUAGGCGGGUAGGUAAGUCAGUGGUGAAAUCUUCGAGCUUAACUCGGAAACUGCCUUUGAUACUAUCUAUCUUGAAUAUUGCGGAGGUAAGCGGAAUAUGUCAUGUAGCGGUGAAAUGCGUAGAGAUGGGGGAGAACACUCGUGGCGAAGGCGGCCAGCUAGACCAGUUCUGACACUGAGGCGCGACAGCGUGGGGAGCAAACAGG
Molecule: ribosomal RNA, 253 nt
Filed under: uncultured bacterium
Lineage: Bacteria
Description: partial 16S ribosomal RNA
Rfam family: Bacterial small subunit ribosomal RNA
Source: RNAcentral